GAUGAACGCUAGCGGCAGGCUUAACACAUGCAAGUCGAGGGGCAGCGCGGGAUAGCAAUAUCCUGGCGGCGACCGGCGGAAGGGUGCGUAACGCGUGAGCGACAUGCCCGUUGCCCGGGGACAACCGGUGGAAACGCCGACUAAUCCCCGAUGGGAUAUUGUGCCGCAUGGCACGAUAUUGAAAGUUACGGCGGCGACGGAUUGGCUCGCGUCCGAUUAGCUGGUUGGCGGGGUAACGGCCCACCAAGGCUGCGAUCGGUAGGGGUUCUGAGAGGAAGGCCCCCCACAAUGGGACUGAGACACGGCCCAUACUCCUACGGGGGGCAGCAGUGAGGAAUAUUGGUCAAUGGGCGGAAGCCUGAACCAGCCAUGCCGCGUGCGGGAAGGAGGCCCUAUGGGCUGUGAACCGCUUUUGCCUGGGGGCAAUAAGGGCGUCGCGCACGUCCGAUGAGAGUACCAGGCGAAUAAGCAUCGGCUAACUCCGUG
Molecule: ribosomal RNA, 486 nt
Filed under: uncultured bacterium
Lineage: Bacteria
Description: partial 16S ribosomal RNA
Rfam family: Bacterial small subunit ribosomal RNA
Source: RNAcentral